CUUAAAUUGAAGAGUUUGAUCAUGGCUCAGAUUGAACGCUGGCGGCAGGCCUAACACAUGCAAGUCGAGCGGAAACGACACUAACAAUCCUUCGGGUGCG
This 100-nucleotide ribosomal RNA is filed under the name Vibrio sp. 10N.261.49.E11. Its description in RNAcentral is "partial 16S ribosomal RNA". Lineage: Bacteria; Pseudomonadati; Pseudomonadota; Gammaproteobacteria; Vibrionales; Vibrionaceae. The record is from RNAcentral.